This 87-nucleotide transfer RNA is filed under the name Parascedosporium putredinis. It matches the Rfam family "tRNA". Rfam says of the family: Transfer RNA (tRNA) molecules are approximately 80 nucleotides in length. Their secondary structure includes four short double-helical elements and three loops (D, anti-codon, and T loops). Lineage: Eukaryota; Fungi; Ascomycota; Sordariomycetes; Microascales; Microascaceae. The record is from Rfam by way of RNAcentral.
UUCUCUAUGGCCAAAUGGCUAAGGCGUCCGACUGUUACUCAAGUAGCAUACAUCGGAAGAUUCCAAGUUCGACCCUUGGUAGGGAAG